AGAUACCCUGGUAGUCCACGCCGUAAACGAUGUCGAUUUGGAGGUUGUGCCCUUGAGGCGUGGCUUCCGGAGCUAACGCGUUAAAUCGACCGCCUGGGGAGUACGGCCGCAAGGUUAAAACUCAAAUGAAUUGACGGGGGCCCGCACAAGCGGUGGAGCAUGUGGUUUAAUUCGAUGCAACGCGAAGAACCUUACCUGGUCUUGACAUCCACAGAACUUUCCAGAGAUGGAUUGGUGCCUUCGGGAACUGUGAGACAGGUGCUGCAUGGCUGUCGUCAGCUCGUGUUGUGAAAUGUUGGGUUAAGUCCCGCAACGAGCGCAACCCUUAUCCUUUGUUGCCAGCGGUCCGGCCGGGAACUCAAAGGAGACUGCCAGUGAUAAACUGGAGGAAGGUGGGGAUGACGUCAAGUCAUCAUGGCCCUUACGACCAGGGCUACACACGUGCUACAAUGGCAUAUACAAAGAGAAGCGACCUCGCGAGAGCAAGCGGACCUCAUAAAGUAUGUCGUAGUCCGGAUUGGAGUCUGCAACUCGACUCCAUGAAGUCGGAAUCGCUAGUAAUCGUAGAUCAGAAUGCUACGGUGAAUACGUUCCCGGGCCUUGUACACACCGCCCGUCACACCAUGGGAGUGGGUUGCAAAAGAAGUAGGUAGCUUAACCUUCGGGAGGGCGCUUACCACU
This 681-nucleotide ribosomal RNA is filed under the name Klebsiella pneumoniae IS53. RNAcentral's name for it is "SSU rRNA". It matches the Rfam family "Bacterial small subunit ribosomal RNA", at positions 780 to 1461 of the family's 1533-position model. Lineage: Bacteria; Pseudomonadati; Pseudomonadota; Gammaproteobacteria; Enterobacterales; Enterobacteriaceae. The record is from RNAcentral.